AUUUAGAAUGUUUCCACCUUUUGCCGAUCCCGUCUGAUCUUGGAAGCUAGGCAUGGUCGGGCCUGGUUAGUACUUGGAUGGGAGACCACCUAGGAAGACCAGGUGUUGUAGGCG
Molecule: ribosomal RNA, 114 nt
Filed under: Pteropus alecto (black flying fox)
Lineage: Eukaryota; Metazoa; Chordata; Mammalia; Chiroptera; Pteropodidae
Source: RNAcentral